CCUACGGGUGGCUGCAGUGAGGAAUAUUGGUCAAUGGGCGUAAGUCUGAACCAGCCAAGCCGCGUGCGGGAAGAAGGUUCUAUGGAUUGUAAACCUCUUUUAUAAGGGAAUAAAGUGUGGGACGUGUCUUGUUUUGUAAGUACCUUAUGAAUAAGGAUCGGCUAACUCCGUGCCAGCAGCCGCGGUAAUACGGAGGAUUCAAGCGUUAUCCGGAUUUAUUGGGUUUAAAGGGUGCGUAGGCGGUCUUUUAAGUCAGAGGUGAAAGUCCGAGGCUCAACCUUGGAAUUGCCGUUGAAACUGUUCGGCUUGAGAGUAUUUGAGGCAGGCGGAAUGUGUGGUGUAGCGGUGAAAUGCUUAGAGAUCACACAGAACCCCGAUUGCGAAGGCAGCUUGCCAAGCCAUUACUGACGCUGAUGCACGAAAGCGUGGGGAGCAAACAGGAUUAGAUACCCGUGUAGUC
RNAcentral lists this ribosomal RNA (460 nucleotides) under uncultured bacterium. Its description in RNAcentral is "partial 16S ribosomal RNA". It matches the Rfam family "Bacterial small subunit ribosomal RNA", at positions 338 to 795 of the family's 1533-position model. The record is from RNAcentral.